This 1995-nucleotide long non-coding RNA is filed under the name Nicotiana tabacum (common tobacco). RNAcentral describes it as "long non-coding RNA (NTAB_LNC002992)". The record is from RNAcentral. Lineage: Eukaryota; Viridiplantae; Streptophyta; Magnoliopsida; Solanales; Solanaceae.
UUUUCUUCGUGUGAAACUGAACUUUCCCUUUUCUCUACAGAAGAAGCUAUCUAGAAAAGUUUCUAUCCUUGGACCAAUAUGAAGAAUUUUCUAAUAUUGCAAGUUAAAUAUAUUUAUAUAUAUAUAUCAUCUUCACCUUCAAAAAACAAGAAGCUUGGCUAUCUCCUUGAGUUGUGUAUAGACGAAAAGCCUCGAAGAAAAUACAGUGCUAGCUGAAGAAGAAAGCCAGACAUAGAGUUUUUGCUUCUCAGGUGACAAUUCUUUCUUAGAUUUUGUGUGUGUGUAUAUAUAUAUUUUUUUUUUCUUGUUUUGUUGUCUCUUCUUAAUUAUAGGAUUCUGAUUAAGCACUUUCAAAGAUUAGUUGGAAAUCAAAAUUACUCUAAAAUGGUUGAAAAUUUUGGCUAACGUGUAUACCUCGUACGUGAAGAAAAUGACCUAAAAACUCCAGAUAUCCUUCUCCUUUAUGAAUAAGUCUGAAAAUAUUUUUUUCUUACCUGAAUAGGAGUUUAGAUUCUAAAUUCCUUUUUGUUUUUUUGGUAACUCCCUCUUUCCCCUCUCCCUUCCUAUGAUCUCUUGUUAGCUAUCUUUCAAGAUUUUAUUAUAAUGUGUAUGCAUACGUGAAAGAGAUUUGUACUUAGAGUCUAAUAUUUUCGAUGUUUCAUAUUAUGUGUUAUUAUUUUUUAUAUAUGUUUUAAAAAAAUAGUUUUUAUAUUUGAAAACUUUUAAUUUUUUACUGUAUUCUUAAUAGCAUAUUUUAUUAGCUACUGAUAUCGAGUAUAGACUCGGCUACAUAAAUUAAUACAGAUAUAAUAUUUGGUUAUCUUUUUGCGUUGGGCGUGAGGUGGGAUGGGAUUGUGUGGACAGUGGGGGUAGGGUAGUGUAGUAGUAUCGGUCCUAUUAGUAGUUAGGUGGAGGAAGUAGAAGAAAUGAAUGAUGCUACAAUUUCAUUUUCCUUUCUUUACUUUCUUCUUUUUCUUCUCUGGCCUUUAUUGUUCAGAACGGCGGAUAUGUUGUAACAUAUUCAUAAUUGGUUUUCCAUCAACAACAACAAUAACAUAUAUAUUCAAAAUUAUCUCAUACUGUAAGGUAAAAAAUACUCUGUUAUGCAGACCUUAUCUUUAUUUUAUGAGGAUAGAAAUAUUGUUUCCAAAAAAUCCUCGGCUCAGGAAAUAUUUGGUUUUUCAAUUGUAGCUUAUUCUAACAAUAGUAUGAGAAUUAUUAUAAUAUAUAUUUUUAAUUUGUAUUAAGAAUGAUCAUAUCAUUAUUCUUAUAUAUAAGAAAUACUUCAAAUAAUAUUUACAAACCCAGUUUAGUAAUUAAUUCUCAAGUGACGUGCUCCAUCUCUUUUUUUUUCUCUCUUUUUGUUUGUCUGCGUGUGUUUCUUGAAGUAAAAGUCAAAUUAAUUAGUAUUUGUCGCAAUAAAUAGUUAAUUGGCAGUUGACAGGUUAGAGGUUAGAAGAUGGAAUGGAUGCAAAGGAGGAAAGUGGGGUUAUCCCUGCUACUGGUUGUUAUCCUCAUUUCCUUCAACUUAAGUAGUCUUGAUGGACAAAUAAUUAAACCAGGUGAGAAGUGAGAACCAUUAAUUUCUCUCGUUUUUCUUCUUGUAACAUCCCUUCUUUGUUUAUUUUUUAAAAAGAAUCAUAUAUUUUUAUAUUUAAAAAUAAUUUAAUUUUGAACCUUUUGUUUUACUCAUUUAACUAUAGAAUAUUUAAGAUUAUAAGUUUUAAAUAUCUUAUAGACACUUAAGACUAUAAAUUUUAAAAAUCUUUUAAAAAAAUAUAUAUAUUUCGAAUCAAACUAGUCACGUCAAUUGAAAGGAAGAAAGAAGAUGAUACUAAAUUGGGGCUACAAUCUAGUCUACCCUGAUUGCUACACAAAAGAAAAGAACAGAGAAAGUCAGGUUAGGUUUUCAUCAAUUUUGAACUUGCUCCUUCCUUUCUAUAUUUGAUACUUUGCUAUUAUUAAUGAUCAAUGAGAUUAUUUAGUUUAUUAGAG